GGCCAGGCUGUGUGAAGGCAAAGCUUCUGAAAGGCUGGUGUAUAGGACCAGCACGGGAGAGAUGAACCGAGGCAGCUGCUGUCUGUGUUGUGCUUUUUUCUCUGAGUUGUAAAAGAUCAGAAGGUGACAGCUGUUCCUGCAGGGAAGACCAGUCUACGGAGCUCAGGAUCAGAUGGUGACAGUGGUCUCUUCAGGGUCAUGGAGCCAGGGAAGACCAGUCUGUGACAGGGGUCUCGUCAGGGUCAGGCAGCCAGUGAAGCCAGUCUGUGACGGCAUAGAGGAAUACGACUUUCCCGAAGCGGAACCUCUGUUUGGACCACCAUCCAGGACAAUGGAUCAGAUCCCAGUAGGCUCUGAUCCCACAAGGGUGCGUUCUAAGCCCUCUCCUGUACUCCCUGUUCACCCAUGACUGCGUGUCUCCAACUCAAUCAUCAAGUUUGC
Oncorhynchus tshawytscha (Chinook salmon) is the source of this 441-nucleotide long non-coding RNA. Lineage: Eukaryota; Metazoa; Chordata; Actinopteri; Salmoniformes; Salmonidae. The record is from Ensembl.